UAAACUCCCCGUGUUGAGGAAGAUAAUGACGGUACUCAACAAGGAAGUGACGGCUAACUACGUGCCAGCAGCCGCGGUAAAACGUAGGUCACAAGCGUUGUCCGGAAUUACUGGGUGUAAAGGGAGCGCAGGCGGGAAGACAAGUUGGAAGUGAAAUCCAUGGGCUCAACCCAUGAACUGCUUUCAAAACUGUUUUUCUUGAGUAGUGCAGAGGUAGGCGGAAUUCCCGGUGUAGCGGUGGAAUGCGUAGAUAUCGGGAGGAACACCAGUGGCGAAGGCGGCCUACUGGGCACCAACUGACGCUGAGGCUCGAAAGUGUGGGUAGCAAACAGGAUUAGAUACCCUGGUAGUCCACACCGUAAACGAUGAUUACUAGGUGUUGGAGGAUUGACCCCUUCAGUGCCGCAGUUAACACAAUAAGUAAUCCACCUGGGGAGUACGACCGCAAGGUUGAAACUCAAAGGAAUUGACGGGGGCCCGCACAAGCAGUGGAGUAUGUGGUUUAAUUCGACGCAACGCGAAGAACCUUACCAAGUCUUGACAUCCUGCGACGGACAUAGAAAUAUGUCUUUCCUUCGGGACGCAGAGACAGGUGGUGCAUGGUUGUCGUCAGCUCGUGUCGUGAGAUGUUGGGUUAAGUCCCGCAACGAGCGCAACCCUUAUGGUCAGUUACUACGCAAGAGGACUCUGGCCAGACUGC
RNAcentral lists this ribosomal RNA (700 nucleotides) under Faecalibacterium prausnitzii. RNAcentral describes it as "bacterial SSU rRNA". It matches the Rfam family "Bacterial small subunit ribosomal RNA", at positions 426 to 1152 of the family's 1533-position model. Lineage: Bacteria; Bacillati; Bacillota; Clostridia; Eubacteriales; Oscillospiraceae. The record is from RNAcentral.